GACUGGAUAGCUCAGUCAGUAGAGCACGAGAUCUCAGGGUCGUGGGUUCAAGCCCCACGUUGGGCA
Non-coding RNA from Podarcis lilfordi (Lilford's wall lizard), 66 nucleotides. The record is from the annotation of a GenBank genome assembly. Lineage: Eukaryota; Metazoa; Chordata; Lepidosauria; Squamata; Lacertidae.